This 438-nucleotide long non-coding RNA is filed under the name Malus domestica (apple). RNAcentral's name for it is "long non-coding RNA (MDOM_LNC017534)". Lineage: Eukaryota; Viridiplantae; Streptophyta; Magnoliopsida; Rosales; Rosaceae. The record is from RNAcentral.
GAAUAUGUUUCUCCAAGUUCUCAAAAUAGAGAACCUCUAAGUUUCCACACCAAGGUAAGAUGUGAAGAAGUGAUGAGUGACCUUGGAGGAGAAAGAUUACUAGCUAAUCCCUCCAAGGGGGCCGGCCUCUUAGAGAGAAAAGAGAGAGAUAUGUUCUCUCCAAUUCUCUAAAAGAAAUCCUAAAUGAAUUUUGGCUAUAAAGUCAUAUUUAUACCUUUAUUCAUUGGAGUGGCAAACUUGUAAUUAAGUUCAAAACCCACUCCUUUAACAAAAUGGCCGGCCAUAGGGUUUCAUUGGGCUUUUAAGGCCUUUGUGAAUUAUUUGUCAUUAAGUUGUCAUACAACUUAAGUCAAUGGGCUUGACGUUUGAAGCCCAUUGGGCCUUGAGGCCCAAAACUAACCCGUGGUCUUUUAACGAACUUUAUUCGUUUGAUUAAUU